CUGUAGAGUUUGAUCCUGGCUCAGAUUGAACGCUGGCGGCAUGCCUUACACAUGCAAGUCGAACGGUAACGCGGGGCAACCUGGCGACGAGUGGCGAACGGGUGAGUAAUGUAUCGGAACGUGCCCAGUUGUGGGGGAUAACUGCUCGAAAGAGCAGCUAAUACCGCAUACGACCUGAGGGUGAAAGCGGGGGAUCGCAAGACCUCGCGCAAUUGGAGCGGCCGAUAUCAGAUUAGGUAGUUGGUGGGGUAAAGGCCCACCAAGCCAACGAUCUGUAGCUGGUCUGAGAGGACGACCAGCCACACUGGGACUGAGACACGGCCCAGACUCCUACGGGAGGCAGCAGUGGGGAAUUUUGGACAAUGGGCGAAAGCCUGAUCCAGCCAUGCCGCGUGUCUGAAGAAGGCCUUCGGGUUGUAAAGGACUUUUGUCAGGGAGGAAAUCCCUAGCGUUAAUACCGCUGGGGGAUGACAGUACCUGAAGAAUAAGCACCGGCUAACUACGUGCCAGCAGCCGCGGUAAUACGUAGGGUGCGAGCGUUAAUCGGAAUUACUGGGCGUAAAGCGUGCGCAGGCGGUU
RNAcentral lists this non-coding RNA (579 nucleotides) under Reticulomyxa filosa. Its description in RNAcentral is "Bacterial small subunit ribosomal RNA". It matches the Rfam family "Bacterial small subunit ribosomal RNA", at positions 1 to 580 of the family's 1533-position model. The record is from Rfam by way of RNAcentral. Lineage: Eukaryota; Foraminifera; Reticulomyxidae.